AAAUAUCACGUUGUGCCGUUGAUUCUUCUUGUAUGUGUGUUGCCUCGAUUCGUUGAAAAAUUAAAAUCACGAAGCGCGGAACAUUGGUUUUGCGCGACUGAUAGAAGUGGCGAACACUCCGGGAUAAACUAGGUGCGAUCGCCGUGCUUGGUCACGGGUGCCUCCCUGUGUUCCAUCGACGUUUCUCCCUUUCAACGUUUUUCUUCUGCGCUACUACACACUUUUCGGCGGGAUUUGGCAGCCUUGCAUGAAGAGUCAAUUCUCGGCAUAUUGGACGAUAAGUAAUCGUCUUGAUUAAAAUUAACUUUGAUAUGAUCGACGCGCAACUAGAAGAAAAAGUCGUUGUCGCGAUGAUAUAUAAUUCAGUAUCGCGCACAGUUAGGUAUGCAAAACUACACGCUAAAUCGGUCCAAUAAUUCCUGAGAUAUUUUGGGUAUCGAUUAGCGAGAACGAGCUUCACGAGAAGCAGGAAUAACAGCGUUACAUAUCAUUUUGUAACGGGCUUCAUAUAAAAUAAAAAUUCAAACAUUGAGCGUUUUUUUCGAGCCACUCAGAUAUAUGUAACCCCUUAAAUUAGAAAGAGGAGCAAAA
Dinoponera quadriceps is the source of this 591-nucleotide long non-coding RNA. RefSeq lists it as uncharacterized. The transcript has 3 exons. The record is from RefSeq and is a predicted model, not a curated record. Lineage: Eukaryota; Metazoa; Arthropoda; Insecta; Hymenoptera; Formicidae.